CCCUUCAUGCCUAUCAACGAUGCACAAACAGAAGGGG
RNAcentral lists this non-coding RNA (37 nucleotides) under unclassified sequences. Its description in RNAcentral is "abiF RNA". It matches the Rfam family "abiF RNA". The record is from Rfam by way of RNAcentral.